Molecule: ribosomal RNA, 802 nt
Filed under: Erysiphe quercicola
Lineage: Eukaryota; Fungi; Ascomycota; Leotiomycetes; Helotiales; Erysiphaceae
Description: eukaryotic LSU rRNA
Rfam family: Eukaryotic large subunit ribosomal RNA
Source: RNAcentral
UUGACCUCGAAUCAGGUAGGAAUACCCGCUGAACUUAAGCAUAUCAAUAAGCGGAGGAAAAGAAACCAACCGGGAUUACCUCAGUAACGGCGAGUGAAGCGGUAACAGCUCAAAUUUGAAAUCUGGCUCUUGCGGAGUCCGAGUUGUAAUUUGUAGAAGAUGCUUUGGGUUGUGGGUUCGGCCUAAGUUCCUUGGAACAGGACGUCAUAGAGGGUGAGAAUCCCGUAUGUGGCCGAGGCCCGCGCCUAUGUAAAGCUCUUUCAACGAGUCGAGUUGUUUGGGAAUGCAGCUCAAAAUGGGUGGUAAAUUUCAUCUAAAGCUAAAUAUGGGCCAGAGACCGAUAGCGCACAAGUAGAGUGAUCGAAAGAUGAAAAGCACUUUGGAAAGAGAGUUAAACAGUACGUGAAAUUGUUGAAAGGGAAGCGCUUGCAACCAGACUUGGGCGCUGCCGAUCACCUUGAGUUUUCUCGAGUGCACUCGACAGCGCACAGGCCAGCAUCGGUUCGGGUGGCUGGAUAAAGGCCGUAGGAAUGUGGCUCUCUUCGGGGAGUGUUAUAGCCUACGGUGCCAUGCAGCCCAGCCGGACCGAGGACCGCGCCUUCGGGCUAGGAUGCUGGCGUAAUGGUUGUAAGCGACCCGUCUUGAAACACGGACCAAGGAGUCUAACAUCUAUGCGAGUGUUUGGGUGGUAAACCCAUACGCGGAAUGAAAGUGAACGUAGGUGAGAACCCCUUUGGGGCGCAUCAUCGACCGAUCCUGAUGUCUUCGGAUGGAUUUGAGUAAGAGCAUAGCUGUUGGGACC